GACUCUCGACAACGGAUAUCUCGGCUCUCGCAUCGAUGAAGAACGUAGCGAAAUGUGAUACUUGGUGUGAAUUGCAGAAUCCUGUGAACCAUCGAGUCUUUGAACGCAAAUUGCGCCUGAAGCCAUUAGGCUGAGGGCAUGCACGUCUGCCUGGGCGUCA
Molecule: ribosomal RNA, 160 nt
Organism: Salvia miltiorrhiza (redroot sage)
Lineage: Eukaryota; Viridiplantae; Streptophyta; Magnoliopsida; Lamiales; Lamiaceae
Product: 5.8S ribosomal RNA
Exons: 1
Source: RefSeq, a predicted model, not a curated record